Molecule: non-coding RNA, 48 nt
Organism: Trichobilharzia regenti
Lineage: Eukaryota; Metazoa; Platyhelminthes; Trematoda; Strigeidida; Schistosomatidae
Source: Rfam
AUCCACAUGACGAGUCCCGAAUAGGACGAAAAGCACAUCCUGGCGGAU